Molecule: ribosomal RNA, 441 nt
Filed under: uncultured Pelagibacterales bacterium
Lineage: Bacteria; Pseudomonadati; Pseudomonadota; Alphaproteobacteria; Candidatus Pelagibacterales
Description: bacterial SSU rRNA
Rfam family: Bacterial small subunit ribosomal RNA
Source: RNAcentral
UGGGUAGUCCGCACGAGCGCACCUCACUUUUAGUUGCCACCAUUUAGUUGGGCACUCUGAAAGAACUGCCAGUGAUAAGCUGGAGGAAGGUGGGGAUGACGUCAAGUCCUCAUGGCCCUUAUGUGUUGGGCUACACACGUGCUACAAUGGCAUUUACAAUAGGAAGCAAGAUGGCGACAUUAAGCAAAUCCUAAAAAAAUGCCUCAGUUCGGAUUGUACUCUGCAACUCGAGUACAUGAAGCUGGAAUUACUAGUAAUCGUGGAUCAGCGUGCCACGGUGAAUACGUUCCCGGGUCUUGUACACACCGCCCGUCACACCAUGGGAGUUGGUUCUACCUUAAGGCAAAGAUUAAAACCUUUGACCACGGUAUAGUCAGCGACUGGGGUGAAGUCGUAACAAGGUAGCCGUAGGGGAACCUGCGGCUGGAUUACCUCCUUUCU